Molecule: unclassified non-coding RNA, 520 nt
Filed under: uncultured Entrophospora
Lineage: Eukaryota; Fungi; Glomeromycota; Glomeromycetes; Entrophosporales; Entrophosporaceae
Description: SSU rRNA
Rfam family: Eukaryotic small subunit ribosomal RNA
Source: RNAcentral
AGCAGCCGCGGUAAUUCCAGCUCCAAUAGCGUAUAUUAAAGUUGUUGCAGUUAAAAAGCUCGUAGUUGAAUUUCGGGAUUGACGUGAUGGUCGUGCCUUAAGGGGUAUGAACUGUUGCUGUUGAUUUCUCACCUUCUGGAGAAACUUGAUGUCCUUAAUUGGGUGUCUUGCGGAUCCAGGACCUUUACCUUGAAAAAAUUUAGAGUGUUUAAAGCAGGCAUUUUGCUCGAAUACAUUAGCAUGGAAUAAUAGAAUAGGACGGCAUGGUUCUAUUUUGUUGGUUUCUAGGAUCACCGUAAUGAUUAAUAGGGAUAGUUGGGGGGCAUUAGUAUUCAAUUGUCAGAGGUGAAAUUCUUGGAUUUAUUGAAGACUAACUACUGCGAAAGCAUUUGCCAAGGAUGUUUUCAUUAAUCAAGAACGAAAGUUAGGGGAUCGAAGACGAUCAGAUACCGUCGUAGUCUUAACCAUAAACUAUGCCGACUAGGAAUCAGACGAUGUUAAUUUUUUUCAAUGACUCGUU